RNAcentral lists this ribosomal RNA (735 nucleotides) under uncultured Chloroflexota bacterium. RNAcentral's name for it is "bacterial SSU rRNA". It matches the Rfam family "Bacterial small subunit ribosomal RNA", at positions 26 to 778 of the family's 1533-position model. The record is from RNAcentral. Lineage: Bacteria; Bacillati; Chloroflexota.
AGGAUGAACGCUAGCGGCGCGCUUAAUGCAUGCAAGUCGAACGAUGAGGCCCCUACGGGGGUACAUCAGUGGCAGACGGGUGAGUAACACGUAGGUAACCUGCCCUCGAGACGGGGAUAACGGCUGGAAACGGUCGCUAAGACCCGAUAUAGUCUGACCUUCGGGAGAAGGUGAGAGGAAAGGCUUCGGUGCUCGGGGAGGGGCCUGCGGCCCAUCAGCUAGUUGGAGAGGUAACGGCUCCCCAAGGCAAUGACGGGUAGGGGGUGUGAGAGCAUGGCCCCCCACACUGGGACUGAGACACGGCCCAGACUCCUACGGGAGGCAGCAGCAGGGAAUAUUGCGCAAUGGACGGAAGUCUGACGCAGCGACGCCGCGUGGAUGAUGAAGGCCUUCGGGUUGUAAAAUCCUUUUCCGGGCGAUGAGGAAGGACACUAGCCUGGGAAUAAGCGUCGGCUAACUACGUGCCAGCAGCCGCGGUAAGACGUAGGACGCGAGCGUUAUCCGGAUUUACUGGGCGUAAAGCGCCUGCAGGCGGUCAGGUAAGUCGGUUGUGAAAGCCCCGUGCUCAACGCGGGGAGGCCAAGCGAUACUGCGUGACUUGAGGGCGGAAGAGGGGAGUGGAAUUCCCGGUGUAGCGGUAAAAUGCGCAGAUAUCGGGAGGAACACCAGUGGCGAAGGCGGCUCCCUGGACCGCACCUGACGCUCAGAGGCGAAAGCUAGGGGAGCGAACAGGAU